AGAGCAAGCUAUUGUGGUAAACCUUGAACAGAUCAGAUGUGUCAUCACAGCUGAUGAGGUUAUACUGAUGAAUUCUUUGGAUGCUUGUGUACUGCAAUACGAGUCUGAAUUGUGUAAACGCCUUCAGAUAAAUAGAGAUCAGCCGGAUGGUCUUCCUUUCGAGUUCAGAGCCCUUGAGCUUGUUUUGGAGCUAACUUGCUUGUCUCUUGAUGCUCAGGUGAAAGAAUUAGAACUGGAAGUAUACCCCGUGCUUGAUGAACUAGCGUCAUCUAUUAACACUCUAAAUCUG
Molecule: unclassified non-coding RNA, 289 nt
Filed under: Hevea brasiliensis (rubber tree)
Lineage: Eukaryota; Viridiplantae; Streptophyta; Magnoliopsida; Malpighiales; Euphorbiaceae
Source: RNAcentral